GCAAGUCGAAUGAUUUUAGAAUCAUGGCAGACGAGGUAGGAACACGUAGGUACGUACCCUAGAGUCAGGGAUACUCCGGUGAAAAUCGGCAUAAUACUUGAUGGUCCCUUCGGGGUAAAAAUUUAUUGCUCUAGGAACGGCCUGCGGUCUAUCAGCUUGAUGGUAAGGUAACGGCUUACCAUGGCUACGACGGAUAGGGGAGGUGAGAGCCUGACC
Molecule: ribosomal RNA, 216 nt
Filed under: uncultured bacterium
Lineage: Bacteria
Description: partial 16S ribosomal RNA
Rfam family: Bacterial small subunit ribosomal RNA
Source: RNAcentral